Molecule: ribosomal RNA, 725 nt
Filed under: uncultured beta proteobacterium
Lineage: Bacteria; Pseudomonadati; Pseudomonadota; Betaproteobacteria
Description: bacterial SSU rRNA
Rfam family: Bacterial small subunit ribosomal RNA
Source: RNAcentral
AGAGUUGUAUCCUGGCUCAGAUUGAACGCUGGCGGCAUGCCUUACACAUGCAAGUCGAACGGCAGCACGGGAGCAAUCCUGGUGGCGAGUGGCGAACGGGUGAGUAAAGUAUCGGAACGUGCCCAGUCGUGGGGGAUAACGUAGCGAAAGUUACGCUAAUACCGCAUACGAUCUAUGGAUGAAAGCGGGGGAUCGCAAGACCUCGCGCGAUUGGAGCGGCCGAUAUCAGAUUAGGUAGUUGGUGGGGUAAAGGCUCACCAAGCCGACGAUCUGUAGCUGGUCUGAGAGGACGACCAGCCACACUGGGACUGAGACACGGCCCAGACUCCUACGGGAGGCAGCAGUGGGGAAUUUUGGACAAUGGGCGAAAGCCUGAUCCAGCCAUGCCGCGUGUCUGAAGAAGGCCUUCGGGUUGUAAAGGACUUUUGUCGGGGAGGAAAUCCCCAGCGCUAAUACCGCUGGGGGAUGACAGUACCUGAAGAAUAAGCACCGGCUAACUACGUGCCAGCAGCCGCGGUAAUACGUAGGGUGCAAGCGUUAAUCGGAAUUACUGGGCGUAAAGCGUGCGCAGGCGGUUUGAUAAGCCAGAUGUGAAAUCCCCGAGCUCAACUUGGGAACUGCGUUUGGAACUGUCAGACUAGAGUGCGUCAGAGGGGGGUGGAAUUCCGCGUGUAGCAGUGAAAAUGCGUAGAGAUGCGGAGGAACACCGAUGGCGAAGGCAGCCC